ACAAUUAGAAAUGAUUGCUAAUACCGGAUGACGUCGGAGAACCGCAUGGUUCACUGACGAAAGGAAAUCCGGUUUGGGAGGGUCUCGCGACCUAUCAGCUUGUUGGCGGGGUAAUGGCCCACCAAGGCGUCGACGGGUAGCUGGUCUGAGAGGAUGAUCAGCCACACUGGGACUGAGACACGGCCCAGACUCCUACGGGAGGCAGCAGUGGGGAAUCUUGCGCAAUGGGCGAAAGCCUGACGCAGCAACGCCGCGUGCAGGAUGAAGGCCUUCGGGCUGUAAACCGCUUUCAGCAGGAACGAAAAUGACGGUACCUGCAGAAGAAGGAGCGGCCAACUACGUGCCAGCAGCCGCGGUGACACGUAGGCUCCAAGCGUUGUCCGGAUUUAUUGGGCGUAAAGAGCUCGUAGGCGGUUUAGUAAGUCGGGUGUGAAAACUCUGGGCUUAACCCAGAGACGCCAUCCGAUACUGCUGUGACUUGAGUUCAGGAGGAGAGCGGGGAAUUCCUAGUGUAGCGGUGAAAUGCGCAGAUAUUAGGAGGAACACCGGUGGCGAAGGCGCCGCUCUGGACUGAAACUGACGCUGAGGAGCGAAAGCAUGGGUAGCAAACAGGAUUAGAUACCCUGGUAGUCCAUGCCGUAAACGGUGGGCACUAGGUGUGGGUUUCAACUAACGAAAUCCGCGCCGUCGCUAACGCAUUAAGUGCCCCGCCUGGGGAGUACGGUCGCAAGACUAAAACUCAAAGGAAUUGACGG
This 755-nucleotide ribosomal RNA is filed under the name uncultured bacterium. RNAcentral describes it as "bacterial SSU rRNA". It matches the Rfam family "Bacterial small subunit ribosomal RNA", at positions 146 to 916 of the family's 1533-position model. The record is from RNAcentral.